RNAcentral lists this ribosomal RNA (693 nucleotides) under Phalacroma sp. CBC4L-128. RNAcentral's name for it is "LSU rRNA". It matches the Rfam family "Eukaryotic large subunit ribosomal RNA", at positions 43 to 658 of the family's 3401-position model. Lineage: Eukaryota; Dinophyceae; Dinophysales; Dinophysaceae. The record is from RNAcentral.
UAAGUAAGCGGCGGACAAGAAACUAAACAGGAUCCCCAUAGUAAUGGCGAAUGAGCAGGGAUGAGCUCAGCAUGGAAAUUGGGGCCUGCGGCCUUGACUUGUAAGCUGGUGAGGUAUUGCCAACAGAGACGCAGAUGUAAGUCUCUUGGAAAAGAGCAUCAAUGAGGGUGAGAGUCCUGCUUGCCAUGUGCAGCCCCCUGUGCACGGUGUACCUACUAAGAGUCACGUUCCUYGGGAUUGGAGCGCAAAGUGGGUGGUAACUUUCAUCUGAAGCUAAAUAUUGGUUUGAGACCGAUAGGAAACAAGUACCAUGAGGGAAAGGUGAAAAGGACUUUGGAAAGAGAGUUAAAAGUGCCUGAAAUUGCUGAAUGGGAAGCGAAUGGAACCAGUGUUUCCUGGUGAGAUUGUCAUAUGCUAUAAUGAUUGGUUGCUGCUUCAGCGCAAGCGUUCUGGUAAGCAUUGAUCUGUAAGUGUGUGGUGUGUCUUGCCUUGAAUGUCAUCGUGGGCUUCUGCAUUAAGACAAUUCACAGUUCAGGGUAAUAUGUUCSUGAAGGUAUGAAUGUGCUGUGCUAUGUUUAUGCAUAAGCUUCCUCUUGCAUGUCUGGCUGCCGUGCUUUGCCCCCAACCUUGGGGAAUGAGCAUAUCCUUUCUGCACAKAUGAUGACUAAAUGAUUCUAUUCGACCUGUCUAGAA